RNAcentral lists this transfer RNA (75 nucleotides) under Candidatus Nanoarchaeia archaeon. Its description in RNAcentral is "tRNA-Glu". It matches the Rfam family "tRNA". Rfam says of the family: Transfer RNA (tRNA) molecules are approximately 80 nucleotides in length. Their secondary structure includes four short double-helical elements and three loops (D, anti-codon, and T loops). Further hydrogen bonds mediate the characteristic L-shaped molecular structure. tRNAs have two regions of fundamental functional importance: the anti-codon, which is responsible for specific mRNA codon recognition, and the 3' end, to which the tRNAs corresponding amino acid is attached (by aminoacyl-tRNA synthetases). tRNAs cope with the degeneracy of the genetic code in two manners: having more than one tRNA (with a specific anti-codon) for a particular amino acid; and 'wobble' base-pairing, i.e. permitting non-standard base-pairing at the 3rd anti-codon position. The record is from RNAcentral. Lineage: Archaea; Nanobdellati; Nanobdellota; Candidatus Nanoarchaeia.
GCCCCGAUAGUGUAGUCCGGCCAAGCACCUCAGGUUCUCAACCUGGUAACGUGGGUUCAAAUCCCGCUCGGGGCG